AAUUAAAAAUUUUAUUUAUUUUUAUUGUUAAAAAUUGACUCUAUAUAUCAACUUAAGGUACAAGUGACAUGCCACAUGCCACUGUUUAUUUAUUCUGUCAUUCAUACCAGUUUUUAACAGUAAAAAUAGAUGAAAUCUUUUUACUA
MicroRNA precursor from Gossypium arboreum, 146 nucleotides. It matches the Rfam family "MIR7502 microRNA precursor family". NCBI's taxonomy places the organism in Eukaryota, Viridiplantae, Streptophyta, Magnoliopsida, Malvales, Malvaceae. The record is from Rfam.